This 1678-nucleotide ribosomal RNA is filed under the name Trichomycterus areolatus. RNAcentral describes it as "16S rRNA". The stretch from base 95 to 1567 matches the Rfam family "Bacterial large subunit ribosomal RNA". The record is from RNAcentral. Lineage: Eukaryota; Metazoa; Chordata; Actinopteri; Siluriformes; Trichomycteridae.
GCUAAACAGCUAGCUUAAACAGUUAAACUGCCCCAACAACAUUAACAAGUUUUACAAAACCCAUACAACAUAACUAAAACAUUCUCCCGCCCUAGUACGAGUGACAGAAAAGGCACCCGCUAAAGCGAUAAGAAAGUACCGCAAGGGAAAGCUGAAAGAGAAAUGAAACAAACCAUUAAAGCCCAACAAAGCAGAGCCUAACCCUCGUACCUUUUGCAUCAUGAUUUAGCCAGUCAUUCUGAGCAAAGGGCACUUUAGUUCAGACCCCCGAAACUAAGUGAGCUACCCCGAGACAGCCUAUUUUUUAGGGCCAACCCGUCUCUGUGGCAAAAGAGUGGGAAGAUCCCCGGGUAGCGGUGACAGACCUACCGAACUUAGUUAUAGCUGGUUGCCUGAGAAAUGGAUAGAAGUUCAGCCUCGCACUCCUCAAAUCAUAUUAAGUUUUACUACAUUAAGAAUUCGAGAAAAAUGUGAGAGUUAGUCAAGGGAGGUACAGCUCCCUUGAAAUAGGACACAACCUUACCAGGAGGUUAAAGAUCAAACUAAACAAGAUUGCCGCUUAAGUGGGCCUAAAAGCAGCCACCUAAACAGAAAGCGUUAAAGCUCGGGCGGACCAAAGUCUAUUAUACAGAUAUUUUAUCUUAAACCCCUAAAACUAUCAGGCCUUUCCAUGCCAACAUGGAAGCGAUACUGCUAAAAUGAGUAAUAAGAAGGGACCCCCUUCUCCAAAGCCCGAGUGUAAACUAGAUCGGACCAACCACUAGUCAUUAACGAACCCAAGCCAAGAGGGUACUGUGACCAAAAAAAUUAUCAAGAAAACCUCACAAACCACAAUCGUUAAUCCCACACUGGAGGGCUUCAAGGAAAGACUAAAAGAAGAGGAAGGAACUCGGCAAACACAAGCCUCGCCUGUUUACCAAAAACAUCGCCUCCCGCAAAAACCACAAUGUAUAGGAGGUCUUGCCUGCCCAGUGACUACAAGUUAAACGGCCGCGGUAUUUUGACCGUGCAAAGGUAGCGCAAUCACUUGUCUUUUAAAUGAAGACCUGUAUGAAUGGUGGAACGAGGGCUUAACUGUCUCCCCCUUCAAGUCAAUGAAAUUGAUCUCCCCGUGCAGAAGCGGGCAUAACAAUACAAGACGAGAAGACCCUUUGGAGCUUGAGAUGUAAGACCAACUAUGUCAAGAAGCCCUAAAAGGAUUAAACUAAAUAGUAACUGGUCCUCAUCUUCGGUUGGGGCGACCACGGGAGAUAACAAAGCUCCCACGCGGACUGGGGAAACCCCCAAAACUAAGAGAGACAUCUCUAAGUCGCAGAAUAUCUGACCAAAAAGAUCCGGCUUCCUGCCGAUCAACGGACCAAGUUACCCUAGGGAUAACAGCGCAAUCCCCUUCCAGAGUUCAUAUCGACAAGGGGGUUUACGACCUCGAUGUUGGAUCAGGACAUCCUAAUGGUGCAGCCGCUAUUAAGGGUUCGUUUGUUCAACGAUUAAAGUCCUACGUGAUCUGAGUUCAGACCGGAGCAAUCCAGGUCAGUUUCUAUCUGUAAUGCCAUUCUUCCUAGUACGAAAGGACCGGAAAAAUGAGGCCUAUGUUUCAAACACGCCCCAUCCCCAUCUAAUGAAAACAACUAAACUAGACAAAAGGAGAGCACAACCUAAAAAUUCAAGAUAAGAAUUU